Molecule: transfer RNA, 85 nt
Filed under: Octadecabacter sp. B2R22
Lineage: Bacteria; Pseudomonadati; Pseudomonadota; Alphaproteobacteria; Rhodobacterales; Roseobacteraceae
Also listed under: 2 other names
Description: tRNA-Leu
Rfam family: tRNA
About the family: Transfer RNA (tRNA) molecules are approximately 80 nucleotides in length. Their secondary structure includes four short double-helical elements and three loops (D, anti-codon, and T loops).
Source: RNAcentral
GCGGGUGUGGCGGAAUUGGUAGACGCACCAGAUUUAGGUUCUGGCGCCGCAAGGCGUGAAGGUUCAAGUCCUUUCACCCGCACCA